Non-coding RNA from Triticum urartu, 175 nucleotides. Lineage: Eukaryota; Viridiplantae; Streptophyta; Magnoliopsida; Poales; Poaceae. The record is from Rfam.
CGGCGCUUGAGGCUUUUUGCCUCAUGUGGCCGGUCGUGAUGCUGGUUUGUAGUGAGGCAGAAAGAAGAAAGCCCCGUAAGUUAAUUUUCAUUAACCCACGAGGCUCAUCCUAUGCAUCAACAACAUCAGGAUAGCCCCUUACCCGCCGCAAGGCAAGGAGCCACAGGCUAUGAAA